UUUGGGAGAAACCGUAAUGGUGAAAGGGUCCAACAGGGUCGAUAUGAGAACACGUGUAUAUCACAAUUUCAUCGUUUCUUGACUUUUAAAAAGCCACGUGAAAAAAGUGUUUCAACGUGUGUUCUCAGGUCGCCCCUGUAGGAUCAUUUAUCAUCGUAGAUUGAAUGCAAUUUCAAUAGUAAUUGUAGUACUAGGAUGCUACUGUCGAUGAACACAAUCGAAAAAUAGGUUUGUUUUUAUUUUCAUUUUUAUUUGGGCAAAUUACAUAAAAUACUAAUCUUUAGGGUAAUGAAUUCUUGUUCGCAUCACACUCCAAUAUUUCAAUAUAAUAGUUAUUUAUCGUUUCUUGCAAAGUCGUAUAUAGCAACUACAAGGAAAACUUCAAUUAUUUAUAACUUGCAUCACUUUCUAGUACAAAAGUAUAUAUCUUUUACAUUGUCAGUGUGUAACACGUAAAACGAUUCUAAUUGUAUCCGUCUUUUUCAAAGAGUCGUGAAUAAUAGUAAAGUUCAUUAUUUUUAUUGUUAAUUAUUAUUACUGGCAUUGCCAUCAUUAUUUGUUUUUAAUAAAAAAUAAUAUGUUUUUUAUAUUUUAGCUUGUCAAAAGAAAACGAUUGAUUAAAUCAUCGAGUUGAUUAUUAAGCCCCCUAUUGGUGUAAAUUAAAAUUAUAUUUUUAGUAAAUUUUGAUAAAAGUUGAUGAGAUGUAUGAUUGAAAAAUUGUAUAUUUUAUAAAAUAUGUAAUUGAAAUUAAUUAAUGUCUUUAACUUAAAUUAAAAUAUAAAUUUUAAUUCUUGACACAUGAGAAAGUUUGGUACGUUGACCAUAUUGCUCAAUCAAUACCUGCUAGGCGAAUGAAACAUCAUAGACAUCGUAUCUGAGUUGAUUUGAGUGCCGUGAUAUUGUUGGAUUUAAGGAGUUAAAAUUCAAAUUAUUGACCAUCGUAUGCCAUUAGUUUGUGCGUGAAAAAUUGGGAACCCAUCGACUUUUACCGCUUCUUCAUGUCAUUCACAUUUUUAUGAUCGGACUUUAUAGCACGUGUGUAACUCUGAUUACAAAUAGACACCAAUAGUUCAUUAUUUUGCAAAAAAGACAAACCAAAUACCUACUUCAACGCAUUCGGGAAGUCAAGAAAGAGGUAAUUCCGUUGAGUUAAUUGUUUCAAUGGUCACUGAACUUAGAUACAUAUCUUUGAUUAGCCAUUGAACUUUAAAAUGUCAAGUUUUUAGCCACUCAACUUUGAAAAAUGUUGAGUUUUGGUAAUUGAAUUUAAGUCCAUGUCUUUUAUUGGUCACUGAGCUUUAAAAUGUCGAAUUUUGGUCACUAAAUUUUGGAAUAUGUUGUAAGUUACUCAUUUGCAUAACUGUUGAAUUUUAAAAAAUAUCGAGUUGACAAUGAAUAAUGUACAAUAUUUUUCAAAAUUCAGUGAGUAAUGUACAAUAUUUUUCAAAUUUCAGUAGCCAAAACUCGACAUUUUAAAUUUCAGUGAGCAAUCGAAGACAUGGAACUAAGUUCAGUGACCAAAACUCGACAUUUUAAAGUUCAGUGGCCAAUCAAAGACAUGAACAUAAGUUCAAUGACCAUUGGAACAAUUAACUCGAUUCGAUUAUGUUUACAUCAGGGGAAUUUUCAUAAUCAUGUAAUAGCCACCCCAUGUGCCUUCCACAUUAGAUAUUAACAGCCUCUUGGAUAAAAAUGUUUUGUGAAAAAUAACUUUUUUAAAAGAACAUAGGAUGAAAAAUUGAAAUUUUUUUAUGAAUUCACGUGUAAAAUUAUUUUUUUUGAAAAUGUGUGAUUGAACUAAAUUUAAAGGAAGUUGAAUUUUAAAUCAUUAGUACCAAACAUAAUAAAUUUUGGGUUGAAUUCAAAAUAAUCAGACAAAUUUUGAAUAAGCACAUUGCAUUUUUCCAAGUCAUGGUAUAAUAAUGAGCUUUUUGUACGGAAGGAAAGCUUGUAGAAGGCUUAUAGAAUACACAUAAUGGAGGUUGGUGGAGUUCUUUUGACAAUAUUUUAUUCAUAUGUGACCCACCUCCAUGUGAGUAUUUGUAAUGAUUCUGUAAAUGAUCAUUCUGUACAAAUGAAAAAUUUCGUAUUUGAAGUUCAUUAGAUAUGAAAUUUGAGCUAG
Molecule: long non-coding RNA, 2122 nt
Filed under: Olea europaea subsp. europaea
Lineage: Eukaryota; Viridiplantae; Streptophyta; Magnoliopsida; Lamiales; Oleaceae
Rfam family: MIR398 microRNA precursor family (bases 24-148)
Source: RNAcentral